UUACGCUGUUAUCCCUAAGGUAAUUAUUUUAAAAUAUCUAAAUUUUAGGUUUAUUUAUUCAUAGAUAAAUGUUUUUUUAUUUAAAAGUUUUUUUAAUUUUAAAAUUACCCCAAUUAAAUUAAUCACUUUAUUUAAUUUUAUAUUAUAAAAAUAUUAAUAAUUUAAUUAAUUAAAUUCUAAAGGGUCUUCUCGUCUUUUAAUUAUAUUUAAGAAUUUUAACUUAAAAUUUAAUUUUAAUUUUUUUUUUAAUUUAUAUAGAUUAUAUUUCAUUAAAUCUUUCAUUCUAGUUUUCAAUUAAAAAACUAAUUAUUAUGCUACCUUUGUACAGUUAUUUAUACUGCAGCCAUUAAAUAUUAUCAUUGGGCAGAUUUUACUAAAAAUUAUUAUCAGUAAGACAUGUUUUUGUUAAACAGGCG
Molecule: ribosomal RNA, 416 nt
Filed under: Monoctonus paulensis
Lineage: Eukaryota; Metazoa; Arthropoda; Insecta; Hymenoptera; Braconidae
Also listed under: 1 other name
Description: partial 16S ribosomal RNA
Source: RNAcentral